CGAGCAGGGACGAAAGUCGGGACUAGUGAUCCGGCGGCUCGUUGUGGAACGGCCGUCGCUCAACGGAUAAAAGGUACCUCGGGGAUAACAGGCUGAUCUUGCCCAAGAGUCCAUAUCGGGUCAGGGACAGUGCCUGAUGGGUAGUUUAACUGGGGCGGUUGCCUCCUAAAAUGUAACGGAGGCG
This 184-nucleotide ribosomal RNA is filed under the name Micrococcus luteus. Its description in RNAcentral is "partial ribosomal RNA". It matches the Rfam family "Bacterial large subunit ribosomal RNA", at positions 2390 to 2608 of the family's 2925-position model. The record is from RNAcentral. Lineage: Bacteria; Bacillati; Actinomycetota; Actinomycetes; Micrococcales; Micrococcaceae.